Molecule: ribosomal RNA, 465 nt
Filed under: Vreelandella stevensii
Lineage: Bacteria; Pseudomonadati; Pseudomonadota; Gammaproteobacteria; Oceanospirillales; Halomonadaceae
Description: partial 16S ribosomal RNA
Rfam family: Bacterial small subunit ribosomal RNA
Source: RNAcentral
CCUACGGGUGGCAGCAGUGGGGAAUAUUGGACAAUGGGGGCAACCCUGAUCCAGCCAUGCCGCGUGUGUGAAGAAGGCCCUCGGGUUGUAAAGCACUUUCAGUGAGGAAGAACGCCUGGUGGUUAAUACCCAUCAGGAAAGACAUCACUCACAGAAGAAGCACCGGCUAACUCCGUGCCAGCAGCCUCGGUAAUACGGAGGGUGCGAGCGUUAAUCGGAAUUACUGGGCGUAAAGCGCGCGUAGGUGGCUUGAUAAGCCGGUUGUGAAAGCCCCGGGCUCAACCUGGGAACGGCAUCCGGAACUGUCAAGCUAGAGUGCAGGAGAGGAAGGUAGAAUUCCCGGUGUAGCGGUGAAAUGCGUAGAGAUCGGGAGGAAUACCAGUGGCGAAGGCGGCCUUCUGGACUGACACUGACACUGAGGUGCGAAAGCGUGGGUAGCAAACAGGAUUAGAUACCCCGGUAGUC